CAGUCGCCGCGGUAAUACGAAGGGGGCUAGCGUUGCUCGGAAUGACUGGGCGUAAAGGGCGCGUAGGCGGAUUGCGCAGUCAGAUGUGAAAUUCCUGGGCUUAACCUGGGGGCUGCAUUUGAGACGCGUAGUCUAGAGUGUGAAAGAGGGUCGUGGAAUUCCCAGUGUAGAGGUGAAAUGCGUAGAUAUGCGGAGGAACACCGAUGGCGAAGGCAGCCCCCUGGGCCAACACUGACGCUCAUGCACGAAAGCGUGGGGAGCAAACAGGAUUAGAUACCCCGGUAGUCCCUGUCUCUUAUAC
This 301-nucleotide ribosomal RNA is filed under the name uncultured bacterium. Its description in RNAcentral is "partial 16S ribosomal RNA". It matches the Rfam family "Bacterial small subunit ribosomal RNA", at positions 509 to 807 of the family's 1533-position model. The record is from RNAcentral.